RNAcentral lists this ribosomal RNA (207 nucleotides) under uncultured bacterium. Its description in RNAcentral is "partial 16S ribosomal RNA". It matches the Rfam family "Bacterial small subunit ribosomal RNA", at positions 568 to 774 of the family's 1533-position model. The record is from RNAcentral.
CGCGUAGGUGGUUUGGUCAGUCAGAUGUGAAAGCCCUGGGCUUAACCUGGGAAUUGCAUUUGAUACUGCCAGACUAGAGUAUGGUAGAGGGAAGUGGAAUUCCGGGUGUAGCGGUGAAAUGCGUAGAUAUCCGGAGGAACAUCAGUGGCGAAGGCGGCUUCCUGGACCAAUACUGACGCUGAGGUGCGAAAGCGUGGGUAGCAAACA